RNAcentral lists this non-coding RNA (27 nucleotides) under Homo sapiens (human). Lineage: Eukaryota; Metazoa; Chordata; Mammalia; Primates; Hominidae. The record is from RNAcentral.
UGCACCAUUGCACUCCAGCCUGGGCAA